This 574-nucleotide long non-coding RNA is filed under the name Gossypium raimondii (Peruvian cotton). Its description in RNAcentral is "long non-coding RNA (GRAI_LNC005715)". The record is from RNAcentral. Lineage: Eukaryota; Viridiplantae; Streptophyta; Magnoliopsida; Malvales; Malvaceae.
UUAGGAAACCAUUUUCCAAAACACGGUAAAAUCAAGCCCAUUCCUCCGGAAAUUGUCUUACGGCUUCAAAAUUGGUAAGACAUUUUCCAUUCUUCUCUAAGCAGGCAUUUUCUGUUCUCUUCUAAGCAGCAGACAUUUUCCAUUCCUCAAAGCUUCCGCCUUUCCUCAUCUCUGCCUUGCCAUCUCUGUCUCUCAGCAUCUUCCUUCUCCAUCUUUCUGCUCCAUAGAUCUGUCGGUGAGUCACCCAAAAGAUUCAAGUUUUUUUAUGAAAUUGGUGGUUUUUUGCUGGAUUUUCCAGAAAUCGGAAGAAGGAUGAAAACUCAUCCUCUUCUUCCCUACACCACUCGACCCCCAAUUCUUCACUACAGGGAAGCUUUCCCUUUUAAUUUUCUUGCUAUUUUCUCUAUAAAAAUCUCACCAUUUCUACCUUCAAAGCUUUAGUUAGUAGAUGCGAUUGACCCGAUUCAUUUCUUAUCUCUUAUCGUUUUUUUAUUUGUUUAUUCCUUAGUUGGAAUUUUAACUUUAUUUUAUCGCAUUUUGUUGUGUAAUUUUAGGGUUGCUGAAUUUCUUAAAC